Molecule: long non-coding RNA, 1879 nt
Filed under: Olea europaea subsp. europaea
Lineage: Eukaryota; Viridiplantae; Streptophyta; Magnoliopsida; Lamiales; Oleaceae
Source: RNAcentral
CUUUGGUUUGUUGUUUCAUUCUAAAAUUGCAUCAUAUAAAUUCUUGGAGUUGUUGUUACUUUGAUGUUUUAGCCUUAAACCCCACUAGGUCGAAAUAAUUGAACGAAUUGACCCCGUUAUUCACAGCUUACCCCAAGUGAAUAGAGCUUUUAAUUAGUCACUUGUACACUUGCCUUUUAUUUUACUCGCAUCAGCAUUAUUAGCUUGCCACGUUCAAACUUAUGUAAUCUCAUCUUUGAAAUAAAGAAAAAACAAAUAAAAAAUAAAAACUAAAUAAAAUAAAAUAAAAUUCAGAUUGCUAUUUUACUGUUGACGCCCAUUUUUUAUUGAUCUCUCUAGUGCACUUCACCUAGCUAAUGUUAUCGUGUAUGCGAUUGCGUAGUGGUUGCGUUACUACCUCUAGCACUAGUACCCUUGCCAUGGACCAAUCCAAAAUUAAGACUCUUACCCGACAGUUGACACCACUUGUCAAUGGGUAACAACAGUUACAAAAUCAAUUAGCAACUGUCUAAACUGAGGUAGAUGCUACUCGUGAGAAGAAUAGAGCCCUAGCUGCUAGGUUGGACACAUUUGAGCAUACUCCAUACUUGACUGAAGCUGAAAACUCGAAAGCGUCCAUUAAUAGAUCUCAUUGUCGUCCACAAGGUGGUUGACACCAUGCUAGACAUGAUCAUAGGAAUGGAAAUUAAGUUCGUGAACAAGAACGGGAACAUCACCGUUAUGAUACUCAGCCUCUCCCCGCCACAAGGAGCCUUUCUUUAGAAAAAUUAAGUUGACGCCCCACAUUUGAUGGAUGUCUAGACCCUAGUGUAUUCACUCAAUGGGUUAGAGAUAUGGAUUGUUCUUUCGCCUAGUAUGGAGUCCCGAAAGAUCGGAAAGUUCAAUUCGCCUGUCUGAAAUCAACUGACAAUGCUCAACUCUUUUAGAAAAGUGUUGAGGAUCUCCUGGAGAGAAGUCAUGCUCCCCUUGUUGGGAGUUGGGAGGAAAUGAAGCGCCGCUUUCAAGAUAAAUACUUAUCCUAAUCUUAUAGGGUAAAUUGUUGGAUCAAUGGAACGUACUUACGCAAGACAAUCGACUUGUGACUGAGUACAUCGCUCAAUUUGAUGAGUUUCGAAUGAGAUGUUAGAUCGUUGAGGAUGAGGUCAUGACCUUGAGUAGGCUUAGGCAAGGUCUAAGGGAUGAUCUUAGGCGUGAGCUUGCCCUUAGAGGCGUCACCACUCUUCACCACGCCUACUCCUUCAUUCGGGAUUACAAGUUAGUGACUAGGACGUCGUAUAGAACUCGUAGUGACACCCGCACUGCAACCUCUUCUGCACCUACUCCAUCCCCUAAGUCUAUUAUAGGGCCUCCUCCUUCUAAUGUUACCCUUGUAUCGGAUAGUAAAGGUAAAGGUCCUAAGGUUUCACGAGCGUCCUCCCGUUUGCAACGUUUUAACUGUAAGGGUUUUAGUUACAUUUCUUCUAGAUGUUCUAGUCGAGCUCUAGUUAUGGAAGAAUGUGAGGGUAUGGUAGACGAACCAUUGGAGAACCAAGUUUAUGAACCUAAGCUGGAAGAGUUUGAUGACUUGAAUGAUAGUGAAGAUACCUUCUUAGGUUGUAUUCAGGCAGUUCCCUUACUCCAAACACGUCUAGAGUCUGUGUCUACAUUGUAAUCUUACCCAACCCAACGAUGCAAAUGAUUGGCGUCGUCAUGCCAUUCCACACUUACAUCAAGAUCAAUAAUAAGGGCUGUAAAGUUAUUGUGGAUGGUGAUAGCAGCAUUAACGCGGUUUAAAUGGCUACUGUAUCCCGUCUUGGGUUGAAGCCAAUUCCUCACCCUCAGCCGUAUAGCGUUUCCUAGUUUGAUACGCCUUUUAUAGCUGUCAAAGAGCGUUGUCCGG